RNAcentral lists this ribosomal RNA (484 nucleotides) under uncultured bacterium. RNAcentral describes it as "partial 16S ribosomal RNA". It matches the Rfam family "Bacterial small subunit ribosomal RNA", at positions 30 to 507 of the family's 1533-position model. The record is from RNAcentral.
AUUGAACGCUGGCGGCAGGCCUAACACAUGCAAGUCGAGCGGAUGAAGGGAGCUUGCUCCUGGAUUCAGCGGCGGACGGGUGAGUAAUGCCUAGGAAUCUGCCUGGUAGUGGGGGAUAACGUCCGGAAACGGGCGCUAAUACCGCAUACGUCCUGAGGGAGAAAGUGGGGGAUCUUCGGACCUCACGCUAUCAGAUGAGCCUAGGUCGGAUUAGCUAGUUGGUGGGGUAAAGGCCUACCAAGGCGACGAUCCGUAACUGGUCUGAGAGGAUGAUCAGUCACACUGGAACUGAGACACGGUCCAGACUCCUACGGGAGGCAGCAGUGGGGAAUAUUGGACAAUGGGCGAAAGCCUGAUCCAGCCAUGCCGCGUGUGUGAAGAAGGUCUUCGGAUUUUAAAGCACUUUAAGUUGGGAGGAAGGGCAGUAAGUUAAUACCUUGCUGUUUUGACGUUACCAACAGAAUAAGCACCGGCCAACUUCGUG